Molecule: non-coding RNA, 72 nt
Organism: Podarcis lilfordi (Lilford's wall lizard)
Lineage: Eukaryota; Metazoa; Chordata; Lepidosauria; Squamata; Lacertidae
Source: the annotation of a GenBank genome assembly
GUUUGGAAAGCUCUGCAGGAGAACUUGAGACUCUUAAUCUCAGGGUUGUGGGUUCAAGCCCCACAUUGGGCA